GAUGAACGCUGGCGGCGUGCCUAAUACAUGCAAGUCGAGCGAACGGACGAGAAGCUUGCUUCUCUGAUGUUAGCGGCGGACGGGUGAGUAACACGUGGAUAACCUACCUAUAAGACUGGGAUAACUUCGGGAAACCGUAGCUAAUACCGGAUAAUAUUUUGAACCGCAUGGUUCAAAAGUGAAAGACGGUCUUGCUGUCACUUAUAGAUGGAUCCGCGCUGCAUUAGCUAGUUGGUAAGGUAACGGCUUACCAAGGCAACGAUGCAUAGCCGACCUGAGAGGGUGAUCGGCCACACUGGAACUGAGACACGGUCCCGACUCCUACGGGAGGCAGCAGUAGGGAAUCUUCCGCAAUGGGCGAAAGCCUGACGGAGCAACGCCGCGUGAGUGAUGAAGGUCUCCGGAUCGUAAAACUCUGUUAUUAGGGAAGAACAUAUGUGUAAGUAACUGUGCACAUCUUGACGGUACCUAAUCAGGAAGCCACGGCUAACUACGUG
This 497-nucleotide ribosomal RNA is filed under the name uncultured bacterium. RNAcentral's name for it is "partial 16S ribosomal RNA". It matches the Rfam family "Bacterial small subunit ribosomal RNA", at positions 28 to 507 of the family's 1533-position model. The record is from RNAcentral.